RNAcentral lists this ribosomal RNA (480 nucleotides) under uncultured bacterium. RNAcentral describes it as "partial 16S ribosomal RNA". It matches the Rfam family "Bacterial small subunit ribosomal RNA", at positions 28 to 523 of the family's 1533-position model. The record is from RNAcentral.
GACGAACGCUGGCGGCGUGCUUAACACAUGCAAGUCGAACGAUGAAGUUCCUUCGGGAAUGGAUUAGUGGCGAACGGGUGAGGAACACGUGAGAAACCUGCCUUUCAUUUUGGGAUAACUCCGGGAAACCGGGGCUAAAACCGAAUACUCCGUCUCGGCGGCAUCGCUGAGCCGGGACACAAUUUUGAUGAAAGAUGGUCUCGCGGCCUAUCAGCUAAUUGGUGAGGUAAUGGCUCACCAAGGCAACGACGGGUAGCCGGCCUGAGAGGGCGACCGGCCACACUGGGACUGAGACACGGCCCAGACUCCUACGGGAGGCAGCAGUGGGGAAUAUUGGGCAAUGGGCGCAAGCCUGACCCAGCGACGCCGCGUGAGGGAUGAAGGCCUUCGGGUUGUAAACCUCUUUCAGUAGGGAAGAAGCGAAAGUGACGGUACCUAAAGAAGAAGCACCGGCUAACUAUGUGCCAGCCGCCGCCGUAA